UACACUCCUGCGGGAGGCAGCAGUGGGGAAUUUUGGACAAUGGGCGAAAGCCUGAUCCAGCAAUGCCGCGUGAGUGAAGAAGGCCUUCGGGUUGUAAAGCUCUUUUGUCAGGGAAGAAACGGUGAAAGCUAAUAUCUUUUGCUAAUGACGGUACCUGAAGAAUAAGCACCGGCUAACUACGUGCCAGCAGCCGCGGUAAUACGUAGGGUGCAAGCGUUAAUCGGAAUUACUGGGCGUAAAGCGUGCGCAGGCGGUUUUGUAAGUCUGAUGUGAAAUCCCCGGGCUCAACCUGGGAAUUGCAUUGGAGACUGCAAGGCUAGAAUCUGGCAGAGGGGGGUAGAAUUCCACGUGUAGCAGUGAAAUGCGUAGAUAUGUGGAGGAACACCGAUGGCGAAGGCAGCCCCCUGGGUCAAGAUUGACGCUCAUGCACGAAAGCGUGGGGAGCAAACAGGAUUAGAUACCCGAGUAGUCCCAUGAU
This 478-nucleotide ribosomal RNA is filed under the name uncultured organism. RNAcentral describes it as "partial 16S ribosomal RNA". It matches the Rfam family "Bacterial small subunit ribosomal RNA", at positions 332 to 801 of the family's 1533-position model. The record is from RNAcentral.